CGCUCUUUGGGGAAAAUUAAGAGUAAGGUCUGCCCAAUGAAAAUUAAAUGGCCGCGGUAUUUUGACCGUGCGAAGGUAGCAUAAUCAUUAGUCUAUUAAUUGUAGGCUGGAAUGAAAGGCUAGAUGAAGAAAAGCUGUCUUUUUUGGUGUUAUGAAUUUUAGUUUUAUGUGAAGACGCAUAAAUAGUAUUAGGGGACGAGAAGACCCUAUUAAGCUUUAUAUCAAAUUUUUAGAAAGGAUAUAUAAGAAAAAGAUAUUAUGUUGGGGCGACAGUAAAAUAAACGUUUAUUUAAAGGAAAUAAUUUAAUUAAAUAUAAAAUGAUCCAUAAUUUUUGAUCGGAAGGAUAAGUUACUAUAGGGAUAACAGCGUAAUUUUAUCAGAGAGUUCAUAUUGAUGAUAAAGAUUGCGACCUCGAUGUUGAAUUAGGAUACCCAUGGGGUGCAGCAGUUCUUUAGGGUGGUCUGUUCGACCAUUAAAUUCCUACA
This 486-nucleotide ribosomal RNA is filed under the name Lamyctinus coeculus. Its description in RNAcentral is "partial 16S ribosomal RNA". It matches the Rfam family "Bacterial large subunit ribosomal RNA", at positions 1817 to 2600 of the family's 2925-position model. RNAcentral also lists the same sequence under 1 other name. Lineage: Eukaryota; Metazoa; Arthropoda; Chilopoda; Lithobiomorpha; Henicopidae. The record is from RNAcentral.